AGCAGCCGCGGUAAUUCCAGCUCCAAUAGCGUAUAUUAAAGUUGUUGCAGUUAAAGAGCUCGUAGCUGAAUUUCGGGGUUAGUAGGUUGGUCAUGCCUCUGGUAUGUACUGGUCUCACUGAUUCCUCCUUCCUGAUGAACCGUAAUGCCAUUAAUUUGGUGUUGCGGGGAAUUUGGACUGUUACUUUGAAAAAAUUAGAGUGUUUAAAGCAAGCUAACGCUUGAAUACAUUAGCAUGGAAUAAUGAAAUAGGACGUUCGAUCCUAUUUUGUUGGUUUCUAGGAUUGACGUAAUGAUUAAUAGGGAUAGUUGGGGGCACUAGUAUUCAAUUGUCAGAGGUGAAAUUCUUGGAUUUAUUGAAGACUAACUACUGCGAAAGCAUUUGCCAAGGAUGUUUUCAUUAAUCAAGAACGAAAGUUAGGGGAUCGAAGACGAUCAGAUACCGUCGUAGUCUUAACCAUAAACUAUGCCGACUAGGGAUCGGAUGAUGUUAAUUUUUUAAUGACUC
This 507-nucleotide ribosomal RNA is filed under the name uncultured Glomeromycotina. RNAcentral describes it as "SSU rRNA". It matches the Rfam family "Eukaryotic small subunit ribosomal RNA", at positions 569 to 1077 of the family's 1831-position model. The record is from RNAcentral. Lineage: Eukaryota; Fungi; Glomeromycota.